GUUAGAGUUUAGCUACAAAAUACUGUUGUGAAAUCUGCCUGUCUGACCCUGCUAAUUCCUAACCCUCUGUGCUGUUGUUGAUUCCUGUGUAUAAUUUUGGAUUGUUUCCUGACCAUCCGCUUAGUCCCAUCCCUUGGGGCUGCGUCUCUGAUUUCUGUGUAGGAACUGACUAGGCCUCACAAACUGUUUUAAACAGGGGUUCUGCCUCUCUGAGUUACUGCUCCUAUCUGUGCCGGCACGGUUCCCUAGCCUGUAGUGCUCAUUACAGGGGGGUAUUCAGUGUAAGCACCCUGCAGCCUGUUCUUAGUUGCCUCCUUUUAUAUAACCCCCUUUAUUUGAUUCCCUAACAGUAUUAAACUAAAAAUAUACUUGUGCACAGCUUUAAAUGAAUGUAAAAAAUAUGGCUCUAAUUAAGCAUCUUGUGCUGAUACCUCAAUGUUGUCUUUAAAAUUGCCCACACCAGAGUAUUUCUUGUUACAGGUAAUUAACCUCUUUUGUUCUGUCUAUUAUAUCAAUGAAGUGGAUCACAUUUUUCCCAGAGCAAAUCAGGGGAUUGGAGCAUUAUUUAAAAAUCCUCAGCGGGCUGUAUUGUCUGGUUCCCGUGCUGCUUGUGAUAGUGGCUUUAUUGCUGACACUGCCAGGGAGUGCGGGGGCUUCUGCUUGUGUUCUGGAAGAUCAGAGUCCGAGUGGAGUCCAGCAGGAUGGGGAUAUAAUCUUGGGAAUAGUUCUUUCUUUAUUUAGGUCAAGAAAGGAUGAGAAGGAAAUUCAAUUCAACCACAAACCUUCCCCACGCAAAUGCAAUUAUCCAUCACUUAUAUAUUAUCAACAUUAUCUAGCAGCUAUUUUUGCCAUUGAGGAGAUCAAUCAGAAUGCUAAUAUCUUACCCAACCUAACCCUUGGCUACCGUAUCUAUGAUGCCUGCACCAGUGAAAGUCGGGCAGCAGCCAACACUCUGAGCAUAUUGACUGGGAGGGCGGCAUCUGUACCCAACUAUUCCUGCAAUGACAAGGGAACACUUGCUGCUUUUGUGGGUCAUUUACUUUCCACACUGACCCAUGUAGUAUCGGACAUGACAACAAUUUACAGGUUCCCUCAGUCACCUUUCUUUGUCUGACAUCAUGCUAACCACUGAGAUUGCGCCACUAAUGCUGCACGGCAUACUUAAGGGUGGAGUUACCACAUGGACUUCUGCCUGUAUAACCCAGCUUCUGUUUCAUGGUAUUGCAUUAACCUCAGAAUGUCUGAUUCUUACAGUUAUGUCCUAUGACAGAUAUGCCAAGCAAUACUAGCAGAGAUCCUACAGCACUGCAGAGGAGUCAGGGCAGGAGACAAACAUGGUCAUUAACAGGCAUAAGCUACUACCAGAGAACUAACGGCUUGAGCAGGAUCUGCAAAUAGAAGCUACCGUGGCCAAAAGUACACUGAACAACCAGGAAAUGUAAGGCAAAAAAGGUACCAAAACAAGAAUGACAGGGGAAAUUUAGAGGAGGAAGAGUUGGAGAAUGCUGAGAAAAAAUGGAGAACAUUUUUCUUUAUUCAUGUCUAAGGUGAACGCAGCCCAGGAAGAAGUUAACACUGCUCUGCAUGGUUGCUUCUGGUCUAAACCAGGUCAGCCUUCUUCAAAGUUUUAUUGUGGAGGAGCUUUGGCAAUUAGCAGCUGGGGAGGAAAUCUACAUUUGUAGUCUGUUAGGGUGAAG
Xenopus tropicalis (tropical clawed frog) is the source of this 1697-nucleotide RNA transcript. It is a transcript of the gene named vomeronasal type-2 receptor 26, with no coding region annotated. The transcript is spliced from 4 exons. Lineage: Eukaryota; Metazoa; Chordata; Amphibia; Anura; Pipidae. The record is from RefSeq and is a predicted model, not a curated record.